GAUGAACGCUGGCGGCGUGCCUAAUACAUGCAAGUCGAGCGAACAAACGCGGAGCUUGCUCCUCUGACGGUAGGGGCGGACGGGUGAGGAGCAAGAGGAGAACCUCCCUAUACGACUGGCAUAACUACGGGAAACCGGAGCUAAUACCGGGUAAUAUAUUGAAUCGGAUGGUUCAUUGGUGAGAGAAGGAUUUGCUGUCACUUGUAGAUGGAUCCGCGCCGCAUUAGCUAGUUGGUAAGGUAACGGCGUACCAAGGCGACGAUGCGUAGCCGACCUGAGAGGGGGAUCGGCCACACUGGAACUGAGACACGGUCCAGACGCCUACGGGAGGCAGCAGUAGGGGAUAUUACGCAAUGGGCGAAAGCUUGCCGGAGCAGCGCCGCGUGGGUGAUGAAGGUCGUCGGAUCGUAAAGCACUGUUAUUAGGGAAGAACAAAUGUGUAAUUAACUAUGCACGUCUUGACGGUACCUAGACAGAAAGCCACGGCUAACUACGUG
This 497-nucleotide ribosomal RNA is filed under the name uncultured bacterium. RNAcentral's name for it is "partial 16S ribosomal RNA". It matches the Rfam family "Bacterial small subunit ribosomal RNA", at positions 28 to 507 of the family's 1533-position model. The record is from RNAcentral.